Podarcis lilfordi (Lilford's wall lizard) is the source of this 3204-nucleotide non-coding RNA. The record is from the annotation of a GenBank genome assembly. NCBI's taxonomy places the organism in Eukaryota, Metazoa, Chordata, Lepidosauria, Squamata, Lacertidae.
UUACCGUAUAUAAAUAGGAUAAAAUACCUUUAUAUAAUAUUUCACAUUCUGACAGUCAAAUGAACCAAAAAGUAACAGAGGCAAGCCUACAAGUGUCUGCAAGAAAACAAAACCCAAAAGAAACCAACCACCAACAUUCCCCCUGUAAAAGACAAAAGCACAGAGAAAUAAAGCAGAGGAUUUGUGGAAGGGAUAAGCACAUCCGCAUCAGAAGAAGAAAAACAGGAGGGUAGAGUCUGUGAGUGCAGAAAGGGGGCAUCAAAGGGGUUCACAAGUUCUCGUUGACACAGACAUGCCGAUGAGCACAAUGGUUGUAUUGCCAGCUUUAGAUAUUGUGAAUGUGGGACUUUUCUGUCAACCUAAGCUACCCCUCCAAACAUACAGAGCUGUUAGCAGAAAGAAUUGGGGAGGGAGGGACUGAGACAGCUUGGAAAGGGAUGGCGAAGAGUCUGCUUUGAUGCUUGGGAAAUCUGUUGUCUAGAGGCAGUUAAGUAUUCCUUCUGGGAGCCCUUGCUAGCAAGCGGGGCAAGGAGUCCCCCUCAGAUACAAGUGGCAGAGCACCCCAAAAGAUAUGCCCUGGGACCCCCUCUUUGAUAUAACAAAGGGGAGUUAUGAGGACGUCAGCCUUCGAGCUCCUGAAACGUCAAAUCUCAUACUUCUGCUAAGCCACCAGUACCAGUUAAGCAAAGGGUCUUUUAAUUGGGGGGAGAGGGAGUUGACCAGUGUUCCCCAGUUCUUCUGUCCCCAACUCCACUCAGCCAGCCUUCCAUAUCCCCACUCAAAGCAUCACAACCGCCUCGCAAGUGAGUGCCCGGCUUCUGCUCCAGAGACACUGCUUUGUGUUGGUGUCUCUCUCCUGACUGAGUUCAGUCCCAAAGAAUGCAGAAUCCGGACUUGGGCCCAGCUCCAACCCCUGUGAAAUCCAGCCUCCUCACACAACCCCUCUGGAUCCACCUUCCCCAUCCCAUGAGAGGUGUGCAGGGCCCAGCUACCACUGGGAUUGUGGGGAGGUGGGCCAAGGUCACCUGGCUCACGUGUGACGCGCAACACACCUCCAGCUCCACCUGGGUUGCUGGUGCGCGCACACCGUGUGCCAGGCAAUCAGGCCAGCCAACCAGGGAGAAGGACACACUUUGGCCUGACUAGGCCUAGAAUAUGGAGUACACACUCCUCUAAGUAAUAGCUACGGCGCCCCAAUUUAAUCCUGCUCAACUCCAGGCCAACUCAGGGUUUUUUCACCAGCAAAUACACCCACACCGCUAAUGACCCCUUAAGCAACUCCACUGCAUGCCAAACUGCCUUUUGUGACCUGCUGCUCCCCUUACUAUGUGCCAGACCUUUGCUACCUGUGUGCAACUGGAGUAAGACCCACAGGCUUCCCUUUGGGCAGGAGAGACUCUCUCCCACUUACACCUCAGCCCCUUGGAGGAACCAGCUGUUUCUGGGUUAAUGCUCUGGAUCCCUGAGCAGCCCUUUUCUAAUAUGGAUGGGUCACAGCCCUCUGUGAACUCCCCGAAAGAGAAAACUAAUACGCCAUUAAAAACAAAACAAAAAAGAUAUCGAACAUAAAACCGUCUAUAAUGUUGUCAUCUAAUGACUAAAACCGGGAUGUGAAUUCUUCCUGUUCUGGGUAACUUUAAAUGAGUGCCAGUUCUCAGGGGUGCUCCUGUGGUGCCUUUGCAACAGAAAUGCCAGCACUUUGUUUGACUUAUACCCAAGACUGGCUCUUGCAAGGAUCUGUAGACUGCAGGGGUGUCCAGCAUGUCACUCAUGCGCUGGGACACUGAACCCACCUAAAAAUGCAUUGCCAUGAGAAGCAAUCCCGGAACAGCGCGCACCUAUCCAGACAGAGUGCACACAACGAGCCUUAUAUAUUAGAAGUGUUGUUGGCUGUUGCAGGUAUAUAUAGGUCUAGGAUACACUGUUCAUUUCUAGUUCCCUUUCGGAGGCAGGAUGUAAGGGAUUGUGGCUACCAGUCAAAUAGCUGAAUUUAGCUGGAAUCAGGAAAUGUCAAUGACAUUUCAAUGAAACAGAGACCCCCCCUUGAACCCCUUCCCCCAAUUUUGUUUAUUAAUUAAUUACUGUUGCAUGGCCACCCGUUGUCCCACAUACCCAUUCUGCUUCUGUCCUGCUUCGCCCAAGGUCAAAACACUGAGUAAGUUCAAACAAACACACACACACACACACACACACACACACACUUGCCCUUUUUUAGGUCUCAAAACCCAAAACUUCAAAAUGGCAGGCAUGUCCAAUUUUGGGGUCAGCUGUGGUUAAAAGGCCAUCGUUAGAUCAGGAAUAAAGACUGUUUCCUUUGGGGAGGGGGGGGCGUAUUGACAGCAGAGGAAAACGAAGAAUGGGGCAAAAAUAUUUCCCUGCAACCCCCCUCAACUCAAUAAGCUUCUCCCACCCUGUGGUUUCAGAUGCCUGGACUCCGAACCCGAGAGCGUUUGGGGCAGAUGGGAUGAGGGAAUAUACCAGAAGAGGCAGCAAAACAGUAUUAAGUGAGCAGCUCUCAAAAAUACACCUUAAAAAAAGAAGAAAAAGCUAAUCAGCAAAGUGCUCCUCACGCACUCUCUUCUGUCGCAGAGGAAGUGACAGCACAGACGGUCAAGGCUGACCCUGAACUGGAACCACGUCAAGAGACACUUGCGUGGUAUUACACCUAAGCUAGCAGAUGCUCCGUGACUCAGGCCCAGAUCUCAAAGCAUGCGUAAAUCUGAAUCAAGGCUGGACCACUUCAGGCUGUGAUGGGGGCUCAACGUGGUUGAAAUUUCCUCCUUCCAACAAAACCCAAAACAAAUAAACCCCCAAAUAAACUCCAACACACACCUUCAAAUGGAAAACGAACAGAAUCUUUAUCCUCACCCUCUUACUUUCUGAGUCCUGAUAAUGCCUUUUUUAUGCAUGAGCUUUCAGUCUUGAGAGUCCCUUUCUGCAACUGAGAGUGGGACCAGUGCCUUGGGAACGAGGACUCCAGUGGGAGCGUUUGAGGGGGCAGAAGACAAACAGGAGCCUCACAACAGCAGGGACUAAAACAGCUGCAUGAGCUGGACAAUACAAUGGCAAGCCUCUGCUCCUUUACGACCCCUUGAAGUUCCCAGGAGGCCAGGUGUCCUGCCUCAAUAUCCAUCUAUUCAGGUACUUCUCCUCCAAAAUUAAGGAAGGCUUAAAAAAAGAAGCAGCAAAAAAUAUCCAAAAAAA